GUGCCAGCCGCCGCGGUAAUACGAAUGGGGCAAGCGUUGUUCGGAUUUACUGGGCGUAAAGCGGGCGUAGGCGGCCGGCUAAGUCGGAUGUGAAAUCCCGGGGCUCAACUCCGGAACUGCAUUCGAUACUGGUCGGCUAGAGUUCGAGAGGGGGAUGCGGAAUUCCGCGUGUAGCAGUGAAAUGCGUAGAUAUGCGGAGGAACACCUGAGGCGAAGGCGGCAUCCUGGAUCGACACUGACGCUGAGGCCCGAAAGCCAGGGGAGCGAACCGGAUUAGAUACCCGGGUAGUCCUGGCCGUAAACGAUGGAUGCUAGAUGUGGGCGGGGAGACCCGUCCGUGUCGCAAGCUAACGCGUUAAGCAUCCCGCCUGGGGAGUACGGCCGCAAGGUUGAAACUUAAAGGAAUUGACGGGG
This 414-nucleotide ribosomal RNA is filed under the name uncultured prokaryote. RNAcentral's name for it is "bacterial SSU rRNA". It matches the Rfam family "Bacterial small subunit ribosomal RNA", at positions 505 to 918 of the family's 1533-position model. The record is from RNAcentral.